Molecule: ribosomal RNA, 253 nt
Filed under: uncultured bacterium
Lineage: Bacteria
Description: partial 16S ribosomal RNA
Rfam family: Bacterial small subunit ribosomal RNA
Source: RNAcentral
UACGAAGGGGGCUAGCGUUGUUCGGAAUUACUGGGCGUAAAGCGUAUGCAGGCGGAUCUCUAAGUCGGACGUGAAAUCCCCAGGCUCAACCUGGGAACUGCGUCCGAUACUGGAUGGCUUGAAUCCGGGAGAGGGAUGCAGAAUUCCAGGUGUAGCGGUGAAAUGCGUAGAUAUCUGGAGGAAUACCGGUGGCGAAGGCGGCAUCCUGGACCGGCAUUGACGCUGAGGAGCGAAAGCCAGGGGAGCAAACGGG